AACUGCCAGUGAGUUUGGGUUUCGUUUUUAUUAUCUCAUGUUUUACAGGUGUUUUUCCCUAGACUGUGUCUGAGUGGGGGUGUUCGUGGCUAUUGCUGUAGUCCGGUGUUCCUGUUGUUUUUUUGAGCUAGUUAAAUGAAACGCCCUUUUCUUUUGAAACUCGUUUCUCCUGUGCCUGACUCCACACCCACAUCUCCUUGGAGACAUCUGACAGUCCCACAGUUGACAGUGCAUGUCAGAGCAAAAACCAACCCAGGAGUUUGAAGGAAUUGUACGUAGAGUUUUGAUACAGGAUUGUGUGAAGGUACAGAUCUGGGGAAAACGUUUUUGCAGCAUUGAAGGUCCCCAAGAAUACAGUGGCCUCCGUCAUUCUUAAAUGGAAAAAGUUUGGAACCACCAAUACUCUUCCUAUAGCUGGCCGCCCCGGCCAAACUGGUGAAUCGGGGGAGAAGGGCCUUGGUCAAGAUCUUCAUGGUCACUCUGACAGAGCUCCCGAGUUCUUCUGUGGAGAUGGGAGAACCUUCCAGUAGGACAACCAUCUCUGCAUCACUCCACCAAUUAGACCUUUAUGGUAGAGUGGCCAGACGGAAGCCACUCCUCAAUAAAAGGCACAUGACAGCCCGCUUGGAGUUCGCCAAAGGGCACCUAAGGGAUUGUCUGGACUGAUGAAACCAAGAUUGAUCACUUUGGCCUGAAUGCCAAGCAUCACAUCUGGAGGAAACCUGGCACUGAAUACUUUCCAAAUGCACUGUAUGACAUGGCUGACCAAGACCAGACAGAGAGCACACAUUACACCUGUUUUAAGGUCUCUGCACCGGCUGACUCCUUGGACCAAGAGAUUAUGCCCCCAGCAUCUGGAAUAGCCUGCCAAAGAACCUGAGGGGGGCCGAAACUGUGGACAAAUAUUUUUGUUUAAAGAUACUAAAACAUGUUUUUACUAAAAUAUACUUUUCCUUUG
Molecule: long non-coding RNA, 958 nt
Organism: Oncorhynchus keta (chum salmon)
Lineage: Eukaryota; Metazoa; Chordata; Actinopteri; Salmoniformes; Salmonidae
Exons: 3
Source: RefSeq, a predicted model, not a curated record